AUGAACGCUAGCGGCAGGCUUAAUACAUGCAAGUUGAACGGCAGCGGGUUGUAGCAAUACAAUGCCGGCGAGUGGCGCACGGGUGCGUAACACGUAUGCAACCUACCCUAUACUGGGGCAUAACCUUUAGAAAUGAGGGCUAAUACUCCAUGUAAUUAUGAGAAGGCAUCUUUUUAUAAUUAAAGAUUUAUCGGUAUAGGAUGGGCAUGCGUCCCAUUAGUUAGUUGGUAAGGUAACGGCUUACCAAGACUGUGAUGGGUAGGGG
Molecule: ribosomal RNA, 265 nt
Filed under: uncultured bacterium
Lineage: Bacteria
Description: partial 16S ribosomal RNA
Rfam family: Bacterial small subunit ribosomal RNA
Source: RNAcentral